AAACCAGCACCUCAAGUGGUCAGGAGGAUUAUUGGGCCUAAAGCAUCCGUAGCCUGUUCUAUAAGUUUCCGGUUAAAUCCACUAGCUCAACUAGUGGGCUGCCGAAAAUACUGUAGAACUAGGGAGUGGGAGAGGUAGACGGUAUUCGGUAGGAAGGGGUAAAAUCCUUUGAUCUAUUGAGGACCACCUGUGGCGAAGGCGGUCUACCAGAACACGUUCGACGGUGAGGGAUGAAAGCUGGGGGAGCAAACCGGAUUAGAAACCCCGGUAGUCC
RNAcentral lists this ribosomal RNA (274 nucleotides) under uncultured bacterium. Its description in RNAcentral is "partial 16S ribosomal RNA". It matches the Rfam family "Archaeal small subunit ribosomal RNA", at positions 473 to 747 of the family's 1478-position model. The record is from RNAcentral.